RNAcentral lists this ribosomal RNA (492 nucleotides) under uncultured bacterium. RNAcentral's name for it is "partial 16S ribosomal RNA". It matches the Rfam family "Bacterial small subunit ribosomal RNA", at positions 29 to 507 of the family's 1533-position model. The record is from RNAcentral.
AGUGAACGCUGGCGGUAGGCCUAACACAUGCAAGUCGAACGGCAGCACAGUAAGAGCUUGCUCUUACGGGUGGCGAGUGGCGGACGGGUGAGGAAUACAUCGGCAUCUACUUUUUCGUGGGGGAUAACGUAGGGAAACUUACGCUAAUACCGCAUACGACCUACGGGUGAAAGCAGGGGAUCUUCGGACCUUGCGCGAUUGAAUGAGCCGAUGUCGGAUUAGCUAGUUGGCGGGGUAAAGGCCCACCAAGGCGACGAUCCGUAGCUGGUCUGAGAGGAUGAUCAGCCACACUGGAACUGAGACACGGUCCAGACUCCUACGGGAGGCAGCAGUGGGGAAUAUUGGACAAUGGGCGCAAGCCUGAUCCAGCCAUACCGCGUGGGUGAAGAAGGCCUUCGGGUUGUAAAGCCCUUUUGUUAGGAAAGAAAAGCAGCAGGUUAAUACCCCGCUGUUCUGACGGUACCCAAAGAAUAAGCACCGGCUAACUUCGUG